CCACCUGAUAAAUUCACUAAUUUGUAUUGUUUAUCAGAACAGCAAAUGUGCCUUACAUAAUCCAAAAACAUAGUAAUGCCGAUUGCUAUCAUUCAUCUCAAAUCGAAUCCACAGCCAAAAGAGAAUGAUUAGCAUAUCCUAAAUUAACAUACUCAAAUACUUUUUGUUCUGACUUUUUCUUUCUCGAUGUUUGCAAUAAAAAAAUAAAAAUAAAAAACUAUUGGUACCAUUCUCAUUGAGGCUUACAACUGAUAAUAGUCUACAAAAUAUGCAAGUAUACCCAAUUUCUCCCAUCUUCACUAACCCACCAUGGCCUGCGUUACAAAGUUAAGACACAGCCCAGGGUGAUUUCGCUGUUUUGUUAUGAAUAUUUCACAAUUGGGCUUAAAUGUUUCAAAUGCUGCAUUUUUUUUUCUCUGAACUUAAGGGAUACCAUUUCAGUCAAUGGAAAUGCCUGUGUCAGCUGCAUAUGAAGGUGUCAUAUGAUCUCGGUAAGAUUCAUGAAUUUAAAAAAAAAAAAUUCAUAGAAUACAACAUCCAAUUUAUUGCAGUGAAUUUCCUUUUUGAUGCUUGAUGCUAUAGCGAUUCCUCACUGUAUGGCAAUUUGCAAGCAGCAGCACUAUCUUUUGACUUGUAUUGGCCAAGCAUUUCAGCAACAGUUCUGCAUCGACACUGGUUUCCAGGGCGAAUCACAUUCCCGUAAACAGCCAUUUCAAUUAUGUCAAGCUCCUUGUCUGCAAGUUUUGAACACAUGAUGUUCUGAUCAUCAGUCGAGGUGUCAGAAGGGCAAAGAUACAAACACAUAGCACACAGCAAGAUCACCAUUCAAUUUGAAAGAAUGAUGUUGCAGGUAAGAUGAGAGCUGCCCUUUUGGGCAGAAGCAGCAAGAGGCUGCAGGCCAAACGUGAAUACUUGACAGGGCCGGAAAAAGCCUUCAGUUGAGACAUCCUACCAACACUAUCGUGUUCAACCUUUCAUACUUCUGCAAUUGCUUGUUUCUAUUAAGACAAAUACCCCAAGACACACUGGUAGUCUGGCACACCUGGUGUAUCUCAAAGGUCGAAAGUGACACAAGAACCUUUGAAUACAACUCAAUUUUAAAAAAUGCAGAAAUUCAUUUUUAGCAGUGCGCACCAUAAAUUCACUCUUUGAAUUAGGGGUACAAUCACUUUAUACGUAUGCAUAGAAUUUAUCAGAAUAAGAAAAAGGAAAGUUCUCAUGACAAAUAUGUAGCCAACUAGCUAUUUCUCUAAUGAUUUGGACAGAACAUAAAUGACAAAAUGAGGUAAACAGUCUCAAGCAUUUAUAUUUCGACAGAACAUAAAGGACAAAAUAAUAUGAACAGUCUCAAGCUUUUAUAGCUUCCAAGUAUCUCGUAAAUGCAUCUGAUGAUCACCCUAACAGACUAAAAAUAAUGCUGGAUAAGGGAAGAAGAUAAGAAGUAGCGCCAUUCUUUCUGAUUCUCACAUGAUGAUUGAAAGGUGAAAGCAAUACAACAGAAAAAUUCAACAGAAUUUUAAUAGUUAUACUCUUGAUGCGACAUAUCAUUGGCUACAUUUGGGUUUUAACAUAAUGCAUCAGCAGCCAUAUGUCAAAUUUGACUGUAACAUUAGAAUUUUCAUAUUUGAAAAUUGAUAUAGAGACAAACAACUCAUUAUCUACUUCAUAAAUUCUACUUCAACUUUUCAUCCAUUUCACUGUCUAUAUAAAGGAAUACUUUUCAUCUAUUUUAGGCUGCAAACGGAGCCAGAAAAUAUUCAGUAUUACCAAUUAUGCAAUGUACUUGAUGCACUAGAUAGAAAAUUUCUUCUGUUUCAAACUUAAGGAGAAUAAUAGAAUGCUAAGAAGACAGAUAAUAGAAGGAACAAAGAACUCCCGGACAAAUUAUGAACUGAAAAUUUUCUCAAACUAAGGACUGUUGCUUGAACUGUUAAACACGUGCCAGAAAUGAACAGGGUUCUACUUAAAACAAUAAGAUGUGCAUGUCUAUCCAAAUUACUGAAAAAAAAUAUAAAAGGAACUUUAAAAGCAGAAAGUCCUCCAGCCUGGCUAAAGUAAUAAGACCUUAGCCCUGAGCCUAUUUAAUAAAGAUGACAAACCUGAUCAUCAGGAGGAUGCUGAUUGCCUGCAAGUUCUAUCAUGAUCAGGUUUAUCAUCUUCAUUGAACAGAAACAAAGAUCUAUUUCUUAUCCAAAAUUACAUGAAACUUAUUGAACAUCUAAAAGCAUUCUAAAAUAAGAUGACUGAAAUUUAGAUCCACAGAACUGAGAAUGUUUAGAGGGGCAUCCUGAAAGGAUCUAGAAACAAACGAACAGUUAAUUAUGAGUUUUUCCUAGACUAUUUACUUUGAAUGAGUAAAUCAACUGCAUAAAAAUAAAGUAAAAGGAAUAUGUGUGUUGAAAUAGGGAAUACCCAAAAAUUUCAACAAGUACUAGCAAAAGAUUUGAAGUUGACUUACUGUGUAAAGGAUCAUAGAAUGAGACAUAUAAAAGCUGAAAGAUUUGGUUAGAAGAUCCCCAAGAAAACAAAGAAUACAGUUUAUUUUAUCCAGUAAUGGACCUUCCAUGACCUAUCCCUCUACCAGUUCCUCCAUGAAGGCACUAGUUCUUCCAAUUAACAAGAGACCGAGAGAGCAAUUCUAAUCUAAGACACAUAAAAAUGGGGGUGAGAACUAGAAUUUUAGUAUACGUACAAGAUACAGUACUGCCCCAACGUGUGAGCGCCUUAAAGUGAAAUGGUGAUGCAGUCAAGGAAUACUAGAUGUAAAAAUUAUUUUUAUUUACUUUUAAUUGUAAAAUUAAGAUCUUUAGUCAGAUUUUAUAUUAUAAUUAGAAAGUUUAGGCUUUAUUAUUUAGAAAAUUUAAUUAGGAAGUGAUAUUUUAAUUAUUCAGGAAUUCUAUUGUCUAGAGUUUCCUAGGUAGUGUUGAUUUUAUAUUCCUACUUAGAUUGGUUUAGUGUUUUUCUUCUUUUGGAAUUCAUAUUUACAGUAGUUGUAGGAUUUGUUGUUAGUUUACGAAAAAGUAUUUUCCUAGACAGCUUAUUGUGAUUAUUAUUGACAAUUGAGACUUAAUGUUUGGGAUUAAGGUUUAGUUGUUAUUUGUCUGUUUAGCGUAAUAGUUAAUGAAAGUUGCCCAAAAUGGAGUCAACUGGAUGACAAAUGAUUCAUUUAGCUGAUUCUAGUUAGUUUUAAGUUAAAUUUUGUUGGUGAACAGAAAUAAAAAGUAAACGAUUCCUAUCAAUAGAAUGUUUUAACUUGAGAAAGAGAAGAUGGUGCUUAUCCAUAUAUGACCUCAAUUAGUUUGAGAUUAAGGUUUAGUUG
Molecule: unclassified non-coding RNA, 3319 nt
Filed under: Hevea brasiliensis (rubber tree)
Lineage: Eukaryota; Viridiplantae; Streptophyta; Magnoliopsida; Malpighiales; Euphorbiaceae
Source: RNAcentral